This 206-nucleotide ribosomal RNA is filed under the name uncultured bacterium. RNAcentral describes it as "partial 16S ribosomal RNA". It matches the Rfam family "Bacterial small subunit ribosomal RNA", at positions 568 to 774 of the family's 1533-position model. The record is from RNAcentral.
CGCAUAGGCGGCCGUGUAAGUCACUUGUGAAAUCCCGGGGCUCAACUCCGGGGCUGCAGGUGAGACUGCAUGGCUAGAGCUUGGUAGAGGCGAGUGGAAUUCCCGGUGUAGCGGUGGAAUGCGUAGAUAUCGGGAAGAACACCGGUGGCGAAGGCGGCUCGCUGGGCCAAUGCUGACGCUGAGGCGCGAAAGCGUGGGAGCAAACA